UACGAAGGGGGCUAGCGUUGCUCGGAAUUACUGGGCGUAAAGCGUGCGCAGGCGGUUAUGUAAGGCAGAUGUGAAAUCCCCGGGCUCAACCUGGGAACUGCAUUUGUGACUGCAUAGCUAGAGUACGGUAGAGGGGGAUGGAAUUCCGCGUGUAGCAGUGAAAUGCGUAGAUAUGCGGAGGAACACCGAUGGCGAAGGCAAUCCCCUGGACCUGUACUGACGCUCAUGCACGAAAGCGUGGGGAGCAAACAGG
RNAcentral lists this ribosomal RNA (253 nucleotides) under uncultured bacterium. Its description in RNAcentral is "partial 16S ribosomal RNA". It matches the Rfam family "Bacterial small subunit ribosomal RNA", at positions 524 to 776 of the family's 1533-position model. The record is from RNAcentral.